CACGUAGGCACCAAGCGUUGUCCGGAUUUAUUGGGCGUAAAGAGCUCGUAGGCGGUUCAGUAAGUCGGGUGUGAAAACUUUGGGCUUAACCCAAAGCGUGCAUCUGAUACUGCUGUGACUUGAGUUCGGUAGGGGAGUGGGGAAUUCCUAGUGUAGCGGUGGAAUGCGCAGAUAUUAGGAGGAACACCGGUGGCGAAGGCGCCACUCUGGGCCGAAACUGACGCUGAGGAGCGAAAGCAUGGGUAGCAAACAGG
This 254-nucleotide ribosomal RNA is filed under the name uncultured bacterium. RNAcentral describes it as "partial 16S ribosomal RNA". It matches the Rfam family "Bacterial small subunit ribosomal RNA", at positions 524 to 776 of the family's 1533-position model. The record is from RNAcentral.